This 107-nucleotide ribosomal RNA is filed under the name Phascolarctos cinereus (koala). The record is from RNAcentral. Lineage: Eukaryota; Metazoa; Chordata; Mammalia; Diprotodontia; Phascolarctidae.
GCCUAUAGGUUUAGAGCUGGUGUAUGCCUGAUCUUAAAGCUAAGUGGAGUUGGGCCUGAUUAGUGCUUGAAUGGGAAACCACUUGUGAAUACUGGGUACUAUAGGCU